RNAcentral lists this ribosomal RNA (468 nucleotides) under uncultured bacterium. RNAcentral describes it as "partial 16S ribosomal RNA". It matches the Rfam family "Bacterial small subunit ribosomal RNA", at positions 28 to 507 of the family's 1533-position model. The record is from RNAcentral.
GACGAACGCUGGCGGCGUGCUUAACACAUGCAAGUCGAACGGAAAGGCCCUGCUUUUGUGGGGUGCUCGAGUGGCGAACGGGUGAGUAACACGUGAGUAACCUGCCCUUGACUUUGGGAUAACUUCAGGAAACUGGGGCUAAUACCGGAUAGGAGCUCCUGCUGCAUGGUGGGGGUUGGAAAGUUUCGGCGGUUGGGGAUGGACUCGCGGCUUAUCAGCUUGUUGGUGGGGUAGUGGCUUACCAAGGCUUUGACGGGUAGCCGGCCUGAGAGGGUGACCGGCCACAUGGGGACUGAGAUACGGACCAGACGCCUACGGGAGGCAGCAGUGGGGAAUAUGGCACAAUGGGCGGAAGCCUGAUGCAGCAACGCCGCGUGCGGGAUGCCGGCCUUCGGGUUGUAAACCGCCUUCGCCUGUGACGAAGCGUGAGUGACGGUAAUGGGUAAAGAAGCACCGGCUAACUACGUG